Molecule: RNA transcript, 2121 nt
Organism: Sapajus apella (tufted capuchin)
Lineage: Eukaryota; Metazoa; Chordata; Mammalia; Primates; Cebidae
Gene name: keratin, type I cytoskeletal 18 pseudogene
Exons: 1
Source: RefSeq, a predicted model, not a curated record
AGAUGACUUUCUAAGUGUAUGUGAGUGUUCAUAGAAUGAAUGACUUUACAAUAUUUUUGUGUUUAAGUUAUGAUUAAGACAAUCUGCAGAUUGUCAGCACAGUGUUGUUCAGUGCUACGUGUCAGGGACUGAACAAGAUACCUAGAGAAGGCAAGACCUGACAUGGGUGUGGGAGAAUGGAUAGAAUUUGGACGAACAGAUAGGAAGAACAACAUGGCUGUGUGAAUACACUAGAAUGAGUUUAAUAGAAAAUGAUGAAAAGUGGCUGGUGCAAACUAUGUGUUAGGGAGUAUUGGAAAAUAAGGUUGGGUAGAUUGGGAUAACAUUAUCAAGGACCUUCAGGGAGCUAUAAAGCUUCAAAAUCAAAACAUGGAAUUAAGGAGCCAUUUGGAGAUUUUUUUUUUUUUUUUAAGCAGAAUACUCUUAUGAAUGUGAUAUUUAAACAGAUAGUAGGAGGGAAAACUAGAAUGAAAACGUCCAGUGAGGAAGCUUUUGCUAGAUUUAAAGUGACGAGGAUCUGUAUGAUUACUUGGAAUUGAAUUGGCAUUGGAAUAAGGAUUACUGAGAGAAUGACUGAUAGGUAAUUAUUCCCAGGUAUAAGCAUUUUUUAGUUAGAAAGAUACACUAUCGGUAGUCGGCAAAGCCUGAGUCCUGUGCUGUUGCUCUCCUCCCUGGCCAGCAUGACCUUCACCACUUGCUCCACCUUCUCAACCAACUACCGGUCCGUGGGCUCCGUCUGGGUGCCAAGCUAUGGCGCCCGGCCGGUCAGCAGUGCGGCCAGCGUCUAUGCAGGCACCGGGGGCUCUGGUUCCUGCACCUCCAUGUCUCACUGCACCAGCUUCCAGAGCGGCAUGGGGGUCGGGGGCCUAGCCACGGGGAUGGCCGGAGGUCUGGCAGGAAUGGGAGGCAUCCAGAACGAGAAGGAGACCAUGCAAAGCCUGAACGACCACCUGGCCUCCUACCUGGACAGAGUGAGGAGCUGGAGACCGAGAACCGGAAGCUGGAAAGCAAAAUCCAGGAACACCUGGAGAAGAAGGGACCCCAGAUCAGAGACUAGAGCCAUUACUUCAAGACCAUCAAGGACCUCAGGGCUCAGAUCUUCGCAAAUACUGUGGACAACGCCCACAUCGUUCUGCAGAUUGAUAAUGUCCGUCUUGCUGCUAAUGACUUUAGAGUCAAGUAUGAGACAGAGCAGGCCAUGCACCAGCCUGUGGAGAGUGACAUCCAUGGUCUCUGCAAGGUCAUCAAUGACACCAAUGUCACUCGGCUGCAGCAGGAGACAGAGAUCGAGGCUCUCAAGGAGGAGCUACUCUUCAUGAAGAAGAACCAUGAAGAGGAAUUAAAUGGCCUACAAGCCCAGAUUGCCAGCUCUGGGUUGACUGUGGAGGUAGAUGCUCCCAAAUCUCAGGACCUCACCAAGAUCAUGGCAGAAAUCCGGGCUCAAUUUGACGAGCUGGCUCGGAAGAACCGAGAGAAGCUGGGCAAGUACUGGACUCAGCUGAUUGUGGAGAGCACCACAGUGGUCACCACACAGUCCUCUGAGGUUGGAGCUGCUGAGAUGACACUCACAGAGCUGAGAUGUACAGUCCAGUCCUUGGAGAUCGACCUGGACUCCAUGAGAAAUAUGAAGAUCAGCUUGGAGAACAGCCUGAGGGAGAUGGAGGCCCCCUACGCCCUGCAGAUGGAAGAGCUCAACUGGAUCCUUCUGCACCUGGAGUCAGAGAUGACACAGACCCGGGCAGAGGGACAGCACCAGGCCCAGGAAUACGAGGCUCUGCAGAACAUCAAGGUCAAGCUGGAGGCUGAGAUCGCCACCUACCGCCGCCUGCUGGAAGAUGGUGAGGACUUCAGUCUUAGUGAUGCCUUGGACAGCAGCAACUCCAUGCAAACCAUCCAAAAGACCACCACCCGCCGGAUAGUGGAUGGCAAAGUGGUGUCUGAGACCAACAACACCAGAGUUCUGAGACGUGAGGCCAGCAGAAGCAGGGGACCCUUUAGGGAGUGGGAGGCCAAUGAAAAGUUCAGAGGUUAAAAAAAAAAAAAGGUAUACUAUCAAUGAAUGAUAUAUUUUUCAGUAAAUAACAAGCAAAAUUGUUACAAUGAUUUGCCAUUUUAAUUUUU